CAGUAGCCGCGGGAAUACGAAGGUCCCGAGCGUUGUUCGGAAUCACUGGGCGUAAAGGGAGCGUAGGCGGCGUGGUAAGUCAGAUGUGAGAUCCCGGGGCUCAACCCCGGAACUGCAUCCGAUACUGCCGUGCUAGAGGAUUGGAGAGGUAGCUGGAAUUCUUGGUGUAGCAGUGAAAUGCGUGGAGAUCAAGAGGAACACUCGUGGCGAAAGCGAGCUACUGGACAAUAUCUGACGCUGAGGCUCGAAGGCCAGGGUAGCGAAAGGGAUUAGAGACCCCCGUAGUCCCUGUCUCUUAUAA
This 301-nucleotide ribosomal RNA is filed under the name uncultured bacterium. RNAcentral describes it as "partial 16S ribosomal RNA". It matches the Rfam family "Bacterial small subunit ribosomal RNA", at positions 509 to 809 of the family's 1533-position model. The record is from RNAcentral.